RNAcentral lists this ribosomal RNA (484 nucleotides) under uncultured bacterium. Its description in RNAcentral is "partial 16S ribosomal RNA". It matches the Rfam family "Bacterial small subunit ribosomal RNA", at positions 30 to 507 of the family's 1533-position model. The record is from RNAcentral.
AUUGAACGCUGGCGGCAGGCCUAACACAUGCAAGUCGAGCGGAUGAAGGGAGCUUGCUCCUGGAUUCAGCGGCGGACGGGUGAGUAAUGCCUAGGAAUCUGCCUGGUAGUGGGGGAUAACGUCCGGAAACGGGCGCUAAUACCGCAUACGUCCUGAGGGAGCAAGUGGGGGAUCUUCGGACCUCACGCUAUCAGAUGAGCCUAGGUGGGAUUAGCUAGUUGGUGGGGUAAAGGCCUACCAAGGCGACGAUCCGUAACUGGUCUGAGAGGAUGAUCAGUCACACUGGAACUGAGACACGGUCCAGAGUCCUACGGGAGGCAGCAGUGGGGAAUAGUGGACAAUGGGCGAAAGCCUGAUCCAGCCAUGCCGCGUGUGUGAAGAAGGUCUUCGGAUUGUAAAGCACUUUAAGUUGGGAGGAAGGGCAGUAAGUUAAUACCUUGCUGUUUUGACGUUACCAACAGAAUAAGCACCGGCUAACUUCGUG